RNAcentral lists this ribosomal RNA (252 nucleotides) under uncultured Marinilabiliaceae bacterium. RNAcentral describes it as "partial 16S ribosomal RNA". It matches the Rfam family "Bacterial small subunit ribosomal RNA", at positions 525 to 776 of the family's 1533-position model. The record is from RNAcentral. Lineage: Bacteria; Pseudomonadati; Bacteroidota; Bacteroidia; Marinilabiliales; Marinilabiliaceae.
ACGAAGGAUGCAAGCGUUAUCCGGAAUUAUUGGGUUUAAAGGGUGCGUAGGCGGACUAAUAAGUCAGUGGUGAAAGCCUGCAGCUUAACUGCAGAAUUGCCGUUGAUACUGUUAGUCUUGAGUACAGUUGAGGUAGGCGGAAUGUGUCAUGUAGCGGUGAAAUGCUUAGAUAUGACACAGAACACCGAUUGCGAAGGCAGCUUGCUAAGCUGUAACUGACGCUGAGGCACGAAAGCGUGGGGAGCAAACAGG